This 29-nucleotide small RNA is filed under the name Bombyx mori (domestic silkworm). RNAcentral describes it as "ovarian small RNA-30775". The record is from RNAcentral. Lineage: Eukaryota; Metazoa; Arthropoda; Insecta; Lepidoptera; Bombycidae.
UGAACGCUUGCGCGAAGCCCUAGGACAUC